AGGAGAACGGAGAGGUCCUCUCUCUAAAGGGAGCAUUGAGAGGUUAAGUUCUGCUCAUCUCCCUCUUCUCCCAAGCAUUCCUAGCUGUGGUGACACCGUGCCAAAGAGUAUAUGUUAUGUAAUAGCAUGACUGGUCAGAGGGGCAAGUCACUAAAAGCCCACAGGGCAGUCUUCAGGGCACAUCCUCAAGUGUAGAGUGUAGAGUGUGAAUGUGUGUUAGAGAGAAGAGAGAUGGUAUGAAUGUGUGUUAGAGAGAAGAGAGAUGGUAUGAAUGUGUGUUAGAGAGAAGAGAGAUGGUAUGAAUGUGUGUUAGAGAGAAGAGAGAUGGUAUGAAUGUGUGUUAGAGAGAAGAGAGAUGGUAUGAAUGUGUGUUAGAGAGAUGUUAUGAAUUUGUGUUAGAGAGAAGAGAGAUGGUAUGAAUGUGUGUUAGAGAGAUGGUAUGAAGGUGUGUUAGAGAGAAGAGAGAUGGUAUGAAUGUGUCAGAGAGAAGAGAGAUGGUAUGGAUGUGUCAGAGAGAAGAGAGAUGGUAUGAAUGUGUGUUAGAGAGAUGGUAUGAAUGUGUCAGAGAGAAGAGAGAUGGUAUGAAUGUGUCAGAGAGAAGAGAGAUGGUAUGGAUGUGUCAGAGAGAAGAGAGAUGGUAUGAAUGUGUGUUAGAGAGAAGAGAGAUGGUAUGAAUGUGUGUUAGAGAGAAGAGAGAUGGUAUGAAUGUGUGUUAGAGAGAAGAGAGAUGGUAUGAAUGUGUGUUAGAGAGAAGAGAGAUGGUAUGAAUGUGUCAGAGAGAAGAGAGAUGGUAUGGAUGUGUCAGAGAGAAGAGAGAUGGUAUGAAUGUGU
This is a long non-coding RNA of Oncorhynchus tshawytscha (Chinook salmon), 831 nucleotides long. Lineage: Eukaryota; Metazoa; Chordata; Actinopteri; Salmoniformes; Salmonidae. The record is from Ensembl.